Molecule: ribosomal RNA, 368 nt
Filed under: uncultured organism
Description: bacterial SSU rRNA
Rfam family: Bacterial small subunit ribosomal RNA
Source: RNAcentral
CGGAGGGUGCAAGCGUUAUCCGGAUUCACUGGGUUUAAAGGGUGCGUAGGUGGGUUGGUAAGUCAGUGGUGAAAUCUCCGAGCUUAACUUGGAAACUGCCAUUGAUACUAUCAAUCUUGAAUACCGUGGAGAUGAGCGGAAUAUGUCAUGUAGCGGUGAAAUGCUUAGAUAUGACAUAGAACACCAAUUGCGAAGGCAGCUCGUUACACGAAUAUUGACACUCAGGCACGAAAGCGUGGGGAUCAAACAGGAUUAGAUACCCUGGUAGUCCACGCCCUAAACGAUGGAUACUCGACAUUUGCGAUACACAGCAAGUGUCUGAGCGAAAGCAUUAAGUAUCCCACCUGGGAAGUACGAUCGCAAGAUCG